Peromyscus californicus insignis is the source of this 108-nucleotide small nuclear RNA. Lineage: Eukaryota; Metazoa; Chordata; Mammalia; Rodentia; Cricetidae. The record is from RefSeq and is a predicted model, not a curated record.
GUGCUCACUUUGGCAGCACAUACACUAAAAUCGGAACGAUACAGAGAAGAUUAGCAUGGCCCCUGCGCAAGAAAAAAAAAAUUGUUAUUGGUCAUAGUCAACCACAUU